This 231-nucleotide long non-coding RNA is filed under the name Setaria viridis. RNAcentral describes it as "long non-coding RNA (SVIR_LNC009549)". Lineage: Eukaryota; Viridiplantae; Streptophyta; Magnoliopsida; Poales; Poaceae. The record is from RNAcentral.
GGAACCGAAAGGAAAAAAAAAGAUAUGGCAGUAUUUGUGUUGGUAUAAAAUAUUAUUAGUUUGAAAAAUACAAUGGGUCUUUUACCAUAGCAACGCACGGGCAUUUUGCUAGUAAUACGUAAAUAGCAUGUUAUUCAUGUGAGUCACGGCAAUGACGACUUAACCCAAGUUGCCGAAAUAGACAUCUAUGCUUGCAGUCUGCUUUUAUCUAAAAGUUUUGCUGGAACCAAC